RNAcentral lists this ribosomal RNA (785 nucleotides) under uncultured Glomus. Its description in RNAcentral is "SSU rRNA". It matches the Rfam family "Eukaryotic small subunit ribosomal RNA", at positions 325 to 1111 of the family's 1831-position model. Lineage: Eukaryota; Fungi; Glomeromycota; Glomeromycetes; Glomerales; Glomeraceae. The record is from RNAcentral.
AUGGUAGGAUAGAGGCCUACCAUGGUGGUAACGGGUAACGGGGUGUUAGGGCACGACACCGGAGAGGGAGCCUGAGAAACGGCUACCACAUCCAAGGAAGGCAGCAGGCGCGCAAAUUACCCAAUCCCGACACGGGGAGGUAGUGACAAUAAAUAACAAUACAGGGUUCUUUGAAUCUUGUAAUUGGAAUGAGUACAAUUUAAAUCUCUUAACGAGGAACAAUUGGAGGGCAAGUCUGGUGCCAGCAGCCGCGGUAAUUCCAGCUCCAAUAGCGUAUAUUAAAGUUGUUGCAGUUAAAAAGCUCGUAGUUGAAUUUCGGGAUCAAUACGUCGGUCGUGCUUUCGGGUACGUACUGGCGUCAUUGGUUUCUCCUUUCUGACGAACCAUGAUGUCAUUAAUUUGGUGUUAUGGGGAGUUAGGACUGUUACUUUGAAAAAAUUAGAGUGUUUAAAGCAGGCAUUAGCUUGAAUACAUUAGCAUGGAAUAAUGAAAUAGGACGUUCGAUCCUAUUUUGUUGGUUUCUAGGAUCAACGUAAUGAUUAAUAGGGAUAGUUGGGGGCAUUAGUAUUCAAUUGUCAGAGGUGAAAUUCUUGGAUUUAUUGAAGACUAACUACUGCGAAAGCAUUUGCCAAAGAUGUUUUCAUUAAUCAAGAACGAAAGUUAGGGGAUCGAAGACGAUCAGAUACCGUCGUAGUCUUAACCAUAAACUAUGCCGACUAGGGAUCGGAUGAUGUUAAUUUUUUAAUGACUCAUUCGGCGCCUUACGGGAAACCAAAGUGUUUGGG